Molecule: ribosomal RNA, 460 nt
Filed under: uncultured bacterium
Lineage: Bacteria
Description: partial 16S ribosomal RNA
Rfam family: Bacterial small subunit ribosomal RNA
Source: RNAcentral
CCUACGGGGGGCAGCAGUGAGGAAUAUUGGUCAAUGGCCGGAAGGCUGAACCAGCCAUGCCGCGUGAAGGUCAGUGCCCUAUGGGCGUUAAACUUCUUUUGUGCGGGAGCAAUAAUGGUCACGUGUGGCCAGACGAGAGUACCGUACGAAUAAGCAUCGGCUAACUCCGUGCCAGCAGCCGCGGUAAUACGGGGGAUGCAAGCGUUAUCCGGAUUUAUUGGGUUUAAAGGGUGCGUAGGCUGUGAGGUAAGUCAGCGGUGAAAUGCCCCCGCUCAACGGGGUGAAGUGCCAUUGAUACUGGCUGGCUGGAAUGCGGAUGCCGUGGGAGGAAUGUGUGGUGUAGCGGUGAAAUGCAUAGAUAUCACACAGAACACCGAUUGCGAAGGCAUCUCACGAAUCCGCGAUUGACGCUGAUGCACGAAAGCGUGGGUAUCAAACAGGAUUAGAUACCCGGGUAGUC